GUAGGCUCAUUCAAUGUCUGGAGCACACGUUGGGCACUCCACCUCGGGUACUCCGAAGCUGCAUGGAGCUUGGAGGAUAGUGGUGGGAUGGUACUAGACCCCUCUCUCCAUUCCUGCAACUGUGGUGAAUUAAAAAAAAAGACCACAUCCUUGGUCAGCUACACCAUACCAGAUGGCCAAGAAACAGAGGAAAUGUGGCAGGGCAGAUUCCCUUGGAUUUGCCCACAUGGAGUUUGGAUAUUUACCUGAUUUCCUUGUCAAGCCUUGGGCCUGAUUCAGGUAAGUGUGGUAGGGCCCUUGGACUUGCAAGGGGCCCAUGUAGACAGCGGUCCUCGAGCUGAAGCAUUUGUGCCGAGCAAGAAAUCUGUAGUGUUCCACACCCUGCGGCCGAGUAUGUAGAGCUGAGCAACAUGAUGCCCCUUUGUCAUUCCAUGAAAGGAGACUCCAUGGAAGAUGAUGGGAUUUCUCUGUUUGUGAUCAUUUUGCCUGCGUGUCCGCUACAGAUGAAAUGAAUGACACGACUAAACCCCAGCAGCCUCUGCCUCCAUCACAUCUAGAGGAUGACAUGUCCCUUGGGAUUUUAGAGUGGCCCUAAGCACCCUAUGCCACCAGGAGGGAUUCCUUGGCUUGUGAAAAUACUAUUUUCUCUUCCUGCCUUUGGGUGACCAUUAAAAAAAAAGCCAGAGCUUGAGCAGAGCUCCGCACGGGGUGUCUGGCCAAAAUGCAAAGUCGCACCGCAGUUUGCAGGCAGACGCUGUUUUUCAAGAGAGGGAGCAGAGUGCCGGGCCUUUCAGCACCUCUCCCGGCCACUUCUUCAAAAGAUGAUUUAAAUUUGAGGCAAUGGGCCCGAAUGCUGAACGUCCGACACCCAGACAAGACCUAAUGAAUCAUACCCUUGACCAGCACGGCUCUCCUCCAGCCUCUGAGCUUGGCGGCCAUGGUGGUGUUUUGUUUUGUUUUUCCUCCCCCACAGAAACUUUUUUUUCCUUCCACAGACCAUGUGCUUGUUAGCAGUGGCCCAGGCAACUCUUUGUAUUUGUAACACGGAGAAGACAUCCAGGGGGAGUCUACAGCCCCAAGUGCAUGCUUCUUACCCGUGGGUCUGAGUUCCACACGGGAAGGUCAGUGGUCUUCUGGAGAGACUCUUCUUAGAACCACAUCCCUACAUAGCCUUGUUGCAUAAUAUAUAACCGCAACAGCCAGAUGUUCCCAACUCUGUAGCAUCGAGCUUUGUCAUGACCUAAGUGAUUCUAAAGGACACAAUGUUCCCAGCUGCUUGUGGAUGGAAGUGCUGGGGCUUGGGGCAGGGCUAGGGGGAUGAGGUAGUUCUAAGUAUUGAGUAGAAGUAACAAUCCCCAGUGUGAGAAAUUUCUCCAUAAGGGGCUGUGGGAUGACAGACUAGUGCAUAGCUUACCUGAAAACUGGAGGAAUACCAUGUGACACUGUCCCUGGUAAGAUGUGAGUAAAUGUCCAUUCACACCAGAUAGGGACCUUACAGCAGCCCAAAUUAACCAUCCACCACAGUGAAUUUACUACCUUGGUGAAUCAGCGAGUUUGUUAUGGUUAUUUACAAGAGUAUGGGGAAGGGGCCUACGUACAGGAGUGUGGAAAACUCAAAGACAGCUGCAUCUCUGAAAGCCUACCACAGUGUGCAUGACAACUCAAGAAAACUGGAAGCCUGGAGCUCUCUGCAUUGCUUGAAGGCAUUUGAUGUUUUCAUGGAUAACUUUUUGUCAGCUUGACACAAGCGAGAGUCACCUGAAAGGAGGGACCUCACCUGAGGAGAUGCCUCCAUAAGAUCCAGCUGUAGAAUAUUUUCCUAGCCCAUUGUGGGUGGUGCUAUCCCUGGGCUGGUGGUCCUGGGUUCUAUAAGAAGGCAGGCUGAGCAAGCUAUGUAGAGCAAACCAGUAAGCAGCACCCCUCUAUGGUCUCUGCAUCAGCUUCUGCCUUCAGGUUCCUGCCAUGUUUGAGUUCCUGACCUGGCUUCCUUCAAAGAGGGCCUUACAAUUGUGGAAGCAAAAGGCAAAUAAACUCUUCCUCCCAAACUUGCUUUUUGGUUAUGGUGUUUCAUAGCAGCAAUAGUAACCCUGACUAAGACAAGCUGGUACCAGGAUACUGGGGUACUGCUGUGAUGGACCUGACCAUAUUACGCUGGGGAGGAUUGUGGAAGGACUUUGGAACUUUGGGCUAUAAAAUCCAUUGACUGUUGAGAGCUCAGUGAGCUAUUCUUUAGGACCUUGGAAGAUAAGAAUGUUGAGAAUAGUGAAGAUGAUGGAGGCCAGACUUGUGAAGUUUCAGAGGGAAGCAAAGACUCCACUAAGUCUUUUGUGUGAAGAAUCUGUGGUGUCUGGUUAGCUGGAGUUGAAGAAUUGGCUGUGAUUAACAAGAGACCAGAAACACUAAAGUUAAACCUUUGCUUUUCUGGGACAAUGGACACUGGUCAGCUGGGGCUGAAGAAUCAGCUGUGAUUAAGAAGAGACCAGCACCACUGAGGUGAAGUCUUUUGGGAAGUUUUGCUCAGGGUCAGCACACAGAAGCUGUAGUCCAGAAGUGGCGAAUGCAAUACCUCAUGCUGGCAGCCAAACUUGGUAGUGUUAAGGCUCACCCAGGUGGCACCGGUUGUGAAGGCAUGAAAAGGUCAUGGAGAGCAGCUGGGCUUGGCAUUGUGUGGCAGGGCUGGAGUACCUGAAGAAAGACCAGGGGAGGCUUUUGAUGAAAUAGAAGUCCAGUUGCUACAAAAGACCCUUGCAUCUUUGGGGAUGCCACUACCAUGGAGUGACCGAGAACAGCAGCAGUAGUGGAGUGGAGCCUAGAAGACAGACUGUGUGUGCUGCAGAGGGCAGAGCUGGAGAAGGGACCAAUGCCCCCUUGGAGGAGCCCAGAACACUGGGGGCGAAUCCCAGGUCCCUCAGUCUAAUGUCUCACUAGAACUGGGCUUAGACUGGAAUUGAAAGGCCAUGUCAUGAUCUCAUCUGAUGAGCUUUUCUAACUUGAUUCAGACUGCCUAAAAGUCAUUAACUUCUCUAAAUGCUCUUCUGGAGGUGGGAGUGUCUGAACACAGGUUGACAAGAGCUCAAGUAGGAUGGAGGGCAGUAGAGAUGACAAGCCUUCACACCAUCAUCCGACAUCAACAUUUAUAGAAUCAGGAUGACAGGGAACACGAUUCCCUAUCAUGAGGAUGAAGAGAGUACUGGAGAGACGCUCAUUUGCAGUUCUGUUCUGGACAUGGCAAACAUCACUUAAGCUCAUCACCAAAUAGCAAGCUGGAUACCAGUUGUUCUUGUAUCCUGGGAGUGGAGAGAAAUAAGAUAGCUGCAAAGAAACAUCAUGUGACACGAGAAAGAGCAUCAGGAGUGGAGAGGGAGAGAGAGCAGAGCUGAUGCUGAAGCAGCGGAGUCCGUGAGAGGAGGGAGACUGCUCAGUCAUGCUUUGCAAACACGAGGACCGGAGUCUGAUUCCCAGAAUGCAUGUGGCAAUGCCAGGGGCAACAGCGUGUGCUUGUAACCUCAGAGACGGAGAAGUAGGGAGAGGUGGGUCUUUGGGGCUUGCUGGCCACGCAGUCUGGCCUACUUGGAGAGGGCCAGCCCAGUGAGAGUGAGACUGAGAAAAUAAAUCCAUUUCAAGGAUGCUGACAUAAAACCACACAUGAAAAUCAUGGCAACUGCACAUAUGAACUCAUGUACAAGCUCCACCCACUCUAGCUGAGGAAAUUUUGGCAUUGGAUAGACGCUGGGAGAGGGAGUCAGAUUUCUUUAAUGAUGAGACUGCUGGUAGGUUGGCCACAGGCCAGGUCAGGCCCCAUACCCAAGAGUAGUUGUGCAACAUAAGCUGGACUUGAUAGUGAAGGAAAAAGGAAGAAAAUUCAAAAUUGGGUGAGUAAGGGGGGAGUAUAGAGAAGGUGGGUGUGGGAGGAGUUGGGGGGAUAUAUGUAAUCAAGAUACACUGUAUGGAAUUCUCAACGAAUUAAUAAAAAUAUUCCUUAAUAAAGAAAACCAUGGCAAAAUCUA
Mesocricetus auratus (golden hamster) is the source of this 4007-nucleotide long non-coding RNA. RefSeq lists it as uncharacterized. Lineage: Eukaryota; Metazoa; Chordata; Mammalia; Rodentia; Cricetidae. The transcript has 8 exons. The record is from RefSeq and is a predicted model, not a curated record.